GCUCCGGUGGUGUAGACCGGUCAAGCAUUCCGGCCUUUCGAGCCGAUGACCCGGGUUCAAAUCCCGGCCGGAGCA
This 75-nucleotide transfer RNA is filed under the name Thermoplasmata archaeon. RNAcentral's name for it is "tRNA-Glu". It matches the Rfam family "tRNA". From Rfam's summary of the family: Transfer RNA (tRNA) molecules are approximately 80 nucleotides in length. Their secondary structure includes four short double-helical elements and three loops (D, anti-codon, and T loops). The record is from RNAcentral. Lineage: Archaea; Methanobacteriati; Thermoplasmatota; Thermoplasmata.